GGAGUUAGCCGGUGCUUCUUCUGCGAGUAACGUCACAGAUGUAAGGUAUUAACUUACACCCUUUCCUCCUCGCUGAAAGUGCUUUACAACCCGAAGGCCUUCUUCACACACGCGGCAUGGCUGCAUCAGGGUUUCCCCCAUUGUGCAAUAUUCCCCACUGCUGCCUCCCGUAGUAGUCUGGGCCGUGUCUCAGUCCCAGUGUGGCUGAUCAUCCUCUCAGACCAGCUAGGGAUCGUCGCCUAGGUGAGCCUUUACCUCACCUACUAGCUAAUCCCACCUGGGCUUAUCCAUCAGCGCAAGGCCCGAAGGUCCCCUGCUUUCCCCCGUAGGGCGUAUGCGGUAUUAGCAGUCGUUUCCAACUGUUAUCCCCCACAAAUGGGCAAAUUCCCAGGCAUUACUCACCCGUCCGCCGCUCGUCAUCUUCAAAAGCAAGCUUUUGAAAUGUUACCGCUCGACUUGCAUGUGUUAGGCCUGCCGCCAGCGUUCAAUCUGAGCCAGAAUCAAACUCUGA
Molecule: ribosomal RNA, 511 nt
Filed under: uncultured bacterium
Lineage: Bacteria
Description: partial 16S ribosomal RNA
Source: RNAcentral